RNAcentral lists this ribosomal RNA (467 nucleotides) under uncultured bacterium. RNAcentral's name for it is "partial 16S ribosomal RNA". It matches the Rfam family "Bacterial small subunit ribosomal RNA", at positions 29 to 507 of the family's 1533-position model. The record is from RNAcentral.
ACGAACGCUGGCGGUGUGCUUAACACAUGCCAGUCGAACGGAAAGGCCCUGCUUUUGUGGGGUGCUCGAGUGGCGAACGGGUGAGUAACACGUGAGUAACCUGCCCUUGACUUUGGGAUAACUUCAGGAAACUGGGGCUAAUACCGGAUAGGGGCUCCUGCUGCAUGGUGGGGGUUGGAAAGUUUCGGCGGUUGGGGAUGGACUCGCGGCUUAUCAGCUUGUUGGUGGGGUAGUGGCUUACCAAGGCUUUGACGGGUAGCCGGCCUGAGAGGGUGACCGGCCACAUUGGGACUGAGAUACGGCCCAGACUCCUACGGGAGGCAGCAGUGGGGAAUAUUGCACAAUGGGCGGAAGCCUGAUGCAGCAACGCCGCGUGCGGGAUGACGGCCUUCGGGUUGUAAACCGCUUUCGCCUGUGACGAAGCGUGAGUGACGGUAAUGGGUAAAGAAGCACCGGCUAACUACGUG